CUCCAAGUUCCCCAAUCCUGCUCCUUUGGCUCCUUCACAUAAACAAAGAUUUGCCUCCAACACAGCAGCCCCUCACUGUAAUGGACGAGCAGUGAAUUGACUUUGUUACCUCAAAAGAACUGAGGCUUUCCAGGCUUCCCCACCCAUCCCAGGGUGGGACAGAGAUGCCUCACCAAUGCCACUGGCCUUUCCUAGAGCCACCCACUCAGGGGUCACUCCUCUAGCCAAGGCUGCUGGACAUUUCCUUCUUGCUGCUCCUUCUGGCUUUCCCUUUCCACUGCUGGCUGUCCCACUUUCAUCAUUCAUAUGUCCCUGUGCACAGAACAGUUCUAUAGAAGCUGAGGUUCUUCUCUGAGACUCAGACUUUCAUUAAACAAAGAGGGGAAAAAAGAUAAAAUGUCUGGCCUUCACAGCUGUGAAUAAAACCUUCCAAGCAUGAAAAAGAAA
Long non-coding RNA from Cyanistes caeruleus (blue tit), 447 nucleotides. RefSeq lists it as uncharacterized. The record is from RefSeq and is a predicted model, not a curated record. NCBI's taxonomy places the organism in Eukaryota, Metazoa, Chordata, Aves, Passeriformes, Paridae.